This 253-nucleotide ribosomal RNA is filed under the name uncultured bacterium. Its description in RNAcentral is "partial 16S ribosomal RNA". It matches the Rfam family "Bacterial small subunit ribosomal RNA", at positions 524 to 776 of the family's 1533-position model. The record is from RNAcentral.
UACGUAGGUGGCAAGCGUUGUCCGGAUUUACUGGGCGUAAAGAGCGCGCAGGCGGUCGUUCAAGUCGCGUGUGAAAGCCCCCGGCUCAACUGGGGAGGGUCACGCGAUACUGAUCGACUCGAAGGCGGGAGAGGGAAGCGGAAUUCCCGGUGUAGUGGUGAAAUGCGUAGAUAUCGGGAGGAACACCAGUGGCGAAGGCGGCUUCCUGGCCCGUUCUUGACGCUGAGGCGCGAAAGCUAGGGGAGCAAACGGG